GAUGAACGCUGGCGGCGUGCCUAAUACAUGCAAGUCGAGCGAACGGACGAGAAGCUUGCUUUUCUGAUGUUAGCGGCGGACGGGUGAGUAACACGUGGAUAACCUACCUAUAAGACUGGGAUAACUUCGGGAAACCGGAGCUAAUACCGGAUAAUAUUUUGAACCGCAUGGUUCAAAAGUGAAAGACGGUCUUGCUGUCACUUAUAGAUGGAUCCGCGCUGCAUUAGCUAGUUGGUAAGGUAACGGCUUACCAAGGCAACGAUGCAUAGCCGACCUGAGAGGGUGAUCGGCCACACUGGAACUGAGACACGGUCCAGACUCCUACGGGAGGCAGCAGUAGGGAAUCUUCCGCAAUGGGCGAAAGCCUGACGGAGCAACGCCGCGUGAGUGAUGAAGGUCUUCGGAUUGUAAAACUCUGUUAUUAGGGAAGAACAUAUGUGUAAGUAACUGUGCACAUCUUGACGGUACCUAAUCAGAAAGCCACGGCUAACUACGUG
RNAcentral lists this ribosomal RNA (497 nucleotides) under uncultured bacterium. Its description in RNAcentral is "partial 16S ribosomal RNA". It matches the Rfam family "Bacterial small subunit ribosomal RNA", at positions 28 to 507 of the family's 1533-position model. The record is from RNAcentral.